RNAcentral lists this ribosomal RNA (549 nucleotides) under Triticum aestivum (bread wheat). RNAcentral's name for it is "partial small subunit ribosomal RNA". The record is from RNAcentral. Lineage: Eukaryota; Viridiplantae; Streptophyta; Magnoliopsida; Poales; Poaceae.
AUGCAUCAGCAGGUCAGUUUACUCCUCACCCUCAUCCUCCUCCUGGCUACCGGAGAAGGCAGCCUCGCCGUCGGCACUCCGUCCGCGAUCAUCAGAACGACAUGCGCUGCUGUCGGUCGACCCGGCGGGGAAGUGGGUUACGACACCUGCGUGGGCUUGCUCUCGGCCGACCCGGCGGCCGCGGCCGCCAAGGACGCAGGUCAGCUCGCCGUCGUCGCCACCAACCUCACCGUGGCCAACGUCACGUCGACGGUGCUCGUCCUCGACGACCUCGUCAAGAACCUCGGGGACUGCCUCCGCUACUACAGGGACAUGAACAAGACCCUGGACGCCGCGCUCGGUGACCUACGUGCCGGGCGCGUCGAGGCGGCGUCCGGCAAAUUGUUGGAUGCCAAUGGAGUGCCCGACAGCUGCGACAUCCAAUUGUUCGAGGGGAGUGCGAAGAAGAAUCCGAUGAGGAAGGAGAACACCGACGCCGAUUUGCUGUCCCGACUGGCAUACGCCAUUACUGACUUGCAGCUGCCGAAUCCUCCUCGGCACCGACGUUAA